GCUAGGCAUGGUGGUGCAUGCCUGUAAUCCCAGUGACUCAGGAGGCUGAGGCAGGAGGAUUGCAAGUUCUAAGUUAGUGUCUCAC
Molecule: small RNA, 85 nt
Filed under: Marmota monax (woodchuck)
Lineage: Eukaryota; Metazoa; Chordata; Mammalia; Rodentia; Sciuridae
Source: RNAcentral